AACGAACGCUGGCGGCAGGCCUAACACAUGCAAGUCGAGCGCCCGCAAGGGAGCGGCGGACGGGUGAGUAACGCGUGGGAACGUGCCCUUUGCUACGGAAUAGCCUCGGGAAACUGGGAGUAAUACCGUAUGUGCCCUUCGGGGGAAAGAUUUAUCGGCAAAGGAUCGGCCCGCGUUGGAUUAGGUAGUUGGUGGGGUAAUGGCCUACCAAGCCGACGAUCCAUAGCUGGUUUUAGAGGAUGAUCAGCCACGCUGGGACUGAGACACGGCCCAGACUUCUACGGGGUGCAGCAGUGGGGAAUCUUAGACAAUGGGGGCAACCCUGAUCUAGCCAUGCCGCGUGAGUGAUGAAGGCCUUAGGGUUGUAAAGCUCUUUCAGCUGGGAAGAUAAUGACGGUACCAGCAGAAGAAGCCCCGGCUAACUCCGUGCCAGCCGCCGCAGUAA
This 445-nucleotide ribosomal RNA is filed under the name uncultured bacterium. Its description in RNAcentral is "partial 16S ribosomal RNA". It matches the Rfam family "Bacterial small subunit ribosomal RNA", at positions 29 to 523 of the family's 1533-position model. The record is from RNAcentral.